This 433-nucleotide ribosomal RNA is filed under the name uncultured bacterium. RNAcentral's name for it is "partial 16S ribosomal RNA". It matches the Rfam family "Bacterial small subunit ribosomal RNA", at positions 29 to 507 of the family's 1533-position model. The record is from RNAcentral.
AACGAACGCUGGCGGCAGGCCUAACACAUGCAAGUCGAGCGAGCAUUUCGGUUCUAGCGGCGGACGGGUUAGUAACGCGUUGUAACGUGCCCUUUUCUUCGGUAUAGUCCUUGUAAACUUGUGGUAAUACCGCAUACGCCCUUUUGGGGUAAGAUUUAUCGGGGAAGGAUCGUCCGGCGUUGGAUUAGUUAGUUGGUUGGGUAAUGGCCCACCAAGCCGACGAUCCAUAGCUGGUUUGAGAGGAUGAUAAGCCACACUGGGACUGAGACACGGCCCAGACUACUACGGGAGGCAGCAGUGGGGAAUCUUAGAAAAUGGGGGCAAACCUGAACAAGCAAUGAGGGGUGAGUGAUGAAGGCCUUAGGGUAGUAAAGCUCUAUCAGCUGGGAAGAUAAUGACGGUACCAGAAGAAGAAGCACCGGCUAACUACGUG